GCCCUCGUAGUUCAAUGGAUAGAACUGCGCACUCCUAACGCGCGGAUAGAGGUCCGAUUCCUCUCGGGGGCA
RNAcentral lists this transfer RNA (72 nucleotides) under bacterium. Its description in RNAcentral is "tRNA-Arg". It matches the Rfam family "tRNA". From Rfam's summary of the family: Transfer RNA (tRNA) molecules are approximately 80 nucleotides in length. The record is from RNAcentral.